UGCCGCAAAAAAAAAAAAGAAAACCUAUUGGUCUGAGGUUAAACCUAAAUCGGCAUCCGUGAAGAAACCUAAAUCUUUCGGCUGAAAACCAGAGUUCUUCAACUGUCUUUCUCUCUCUAUUCUCAUCUCAAUCGUCCAGGCUUCAAACACCUAAUGAUGUGCUUCCAAUCCAGAGAUCGUCUAGGCUUCAAGGUGAAGGUUUAUCAGUUCUAACGUGAUUUAGGGUUUAUUCCUGUGUUAUGAAAGCCUUACGUGAUUUAGGGUUUGUGAAGAUCAUAUACUCUUUUGGCUCAAGUUUUGGAAUUGUUCAACCAAUGCCCACAAGUCACAAAUUGGAAGUCUUUCAAGGUAUCACUUCUAUUAAAUACAAUGGACUGCUAUUCCAUAUUUUCUCAACAGUGUGAGGCGACAAAAGACUAGAGAUAGUGGAUAACAAUGACGGAAACAGUAGAGAUUUCAAAAAAAAAAAAAUCAAAUUGGAUAUUGCAGGAAAGAGACAAGUGCUGCUAGCCAGGUUUGUGUGAAUGAGUAUAUGGGUUCUGGUGGCUGUGUUGGGAUGUUCGAAUUGAAGAAGUUAGGAUUGUAUUUCAGCUAACCGAAUCAAAUUCUCACUGAUCAAUUGAAGUAUACUUCUCUCCCUAAUUGUCUACAACCUGUCCCUCUCUCUAUUUUCCUCUCGAGUUUUCUUCUCCAGCGGAAACCAUGUAAUCUUUUAUCUUUCAUUACCAUCUACAUCCGACCAGUAAAGUCGCAAUAUGUAGAUGUAGUAAAGAGAUUCUGAUGUUUUAUUUUUUUUAGGAAUAAUAGUGUGUUAAAGGAGCUGGAAGUGGGAUACUGGAACUGGUGUGGGCUGCGGGGGUGAAUUUAUAUACGGAUGUAGUGCUGAUGGUGGUAUAAGGGUACAUGUUACAUUUGAUUUCUUAUAGUCAAAUAUUAUCAAUUGAUUUUUAAAUUUGUUCUAAUUACAUAAUUUUUUACUUCUUUAAUUAAUGCAAUGCAAAUAUUAUUUGAGAAUAUAUUUUUGAGUCUGGUACGAUCUUUUACGAAUCUCAAGGUGGUUGCUGGAGGCUUAUCGACACAGAAGAGGCCUUCAAUAUUCUUUUAUAUCUCCUGACAUACGUGGAAUUGGGGAAUCACAUUUGCACUCAAUGUUGCAAAAAUGGAGAUAUCACAUAAGAUGCAGUUAGAAGGAAUUCCAAAUGCAGGGACCAUGUGAACCCAGCUGAAGAUUGAAUUCGAACUGAAGUUUCUAAAAUACUCCCUCCGUCCCACUAAUAAGUGAUCUAGUUACUUUUAGAUUUUGUCCCAUCAUUAAGUGACCUAUAUCACUAAAGGAGUUAUUUCUAAAACUAUCAUUUU
Molecule: long non-coding RNA, 1359 nt
Organism: Papaver somniferum (opium poppy)
Lineage: Eukaryota; Viridiplantae; Streptophyta; Magnoliopsida; Ranunculales; Papaveraceae
Exons: 4
Source: RefSeq, a predicted model, not a curated record